UUUGGCCUACGGAGGCAGCAGUAGGGAAUCUUCCACAAUGGGCGAAAGCCUGAUGGAGCAACGCCGCGUGGGUGAAGAAGGUCUUCGGAUCGUAAAACCCUGUUGUUAGAGAAGAAAGUGCGUGAGAGUAACUGUUCACGUUUCGACGGUAUCUAACCAGAAAGCCACGGCUAACUACGUGCCAGCAGCCGCUGUAAUACGUAGGUGGCAAGCGUUAUCCGGAUUUAUUGGGCGUAAAGGGAACGCAGCCGGUCUUUUAAGUCUGAUGAG
This 270-nucleotide ribosomal RNA is filed under the name uncultured bacterium. RNAcentral's name for it is "partial 16S ribosomal RNA". It matches the Rfam family "Bacterial small subunit ribosomal RNA", at positions 330 to 596 of the family's 1533-position model. The record is from RNAcentral.